GAUGAACGCUGGCGGCGUGCCUAAUACAUGCAAGUCGAGCGAACGGACGAGAAGCUUGCUUUUCUGAUGUUAGCGGCGGACGGGUGAGUAACACGUGGAUAACCUACCUAUAAGACUGGGAUAACUUCGGGAAACCGGAGCUAAUACCGGAUAAUAUUUUGAACCGCAUGGUUCAAAAGUGAAAGACGGUCCUGCUGUCACUUAUAGAUGGAUCCGCGCUGCAUUAGCUAGUUGGUAAGGUAACGGCUUACCAGGGCAACGAUGCAUAGCCGACCUGAGAGGGCGAUCGGCCACACUGGAACUGAGACACGGUCCAGACUCCUACGGGAGGCAGCAGUAGGGAAUCUUCCGCAAUGGGCGAAAGCCUGACGGAGCAACGCCGCGUGAGUGAUGAAGGUCUUCGGAUCGUAAAACUCUGUUAUUAGGGAAGAACAUAUGUGUAAGUAACUGUGCACAUCUUGACGGUACCUAAUCAGAAAGCCACGGCUAACUACGUG
RNAcentral lists this ribosomal RNA (497 nucleotides) under uncultured bacterium. RNAcentral describes it as "partial 16S ribosomal RNA". It matches the Rfam family "Bacterial small subunit ribosomal RNA", at positions 28 to 507 of the family's 1533-position model. The record is from RNAcentral.